Molecule: long non-coding RNA, 1250 nt
Filed under: Oryctolagus cuniculus (rabbit)
Lineage: Eukaryota; Metazoa; Chordata; Mammalia; Lagomorpha; Leporidae
Description: lncRNA (ENSOCUG00000037872.1)
Source: RNAcentral
ACAGGGAAGCACGCUGGUGCCUGGCCUCACUGCCCGUCAUCUUCCACAAUGCUGUGGCAGGGCCAGCAGGGACAGGAGCCGGGGCCCUCGCCUGCAAGACCUCCUGCCCAGGCAGCUGGCCCGCCCACUCCUGCUCCCACCGGGACCCACGCUCCUCUGCAGAUUCCCAGAGCUCGGCCCUGGGUUUGGAUCUGCACACAGGACGCCUCGGCUGGCUUCUUCCCAGCGGUGUCUGCACGAGUCGGAUUCCCCGUCCUCGCCAGCAGGAUCGCACCUGGACGUGUGAGGAUGGAGCCCGCACCUGGACAGGCGCGCUGCACGGUACACAUCAAGACGGAGAUUCCAACCCCAACUAAGGAGAGCAAGCAUCCCGGGGCAGGGGCGGCUGCGGGCGCGCUUUUCCUGAACGGAGCACGGUUCGGGCAAGCAGGAGUGGGGCGAGGUCGGCGCCGGGCCCCCUGGCAGCAACGCCAGCCGUGGCCCGCGGCCGGCACCUGCGGGGUGCGGAGCCCUCCCCCUGCCCAACAGCUCGGAGCGCCGCCUUCCUCUCCAGCUCCCCGCUGCGCCAGGCGCGCGUCUGAGGACGGGAAGCGGCCCCCGGCCCGGAUUUCCCGCGGGUGGGGCCGCCGUGACCUCACCCCCGCCCCGUUUCCUUGUUUGCGUUUCUCCUCCAGGCCACGUGGCGGCCGGGGAUAAGAACCCCGGAACCCUUGCCCGGCCGCCCCCUCUCAUGGCCCCCUCCCACCUGGUCGGGUAGCCUUCCCCCCCCCCCCCGGAGAGAGGACACAAGCUCUGGCCUCCGUGGGCCCGAAUGGCUCCGCGUUGCCGGGCAGGACCUGACCCAGCUGCGGCCAAGCGCCCGCCGGGAGGUCCCUGAAGGUGGAAGGGGGCCGGACGGGGAGGAGCCGAGGGGCGGGCGCAGCGGACGCCCGCAGCCGCGAGCCGGGGCCGCCGGGUCCCGAGCGUCCAGCAGUCCCGGGGCUGGAGAUCCGCGGCAUUCCGGCGACGGGGACCGGAGGAGCCCGCCUGCACCCCGCGCGCGCAGGGGCGGUGCCUCCUGCUGACCCGCCCAGCGCUUGGAGGAGGUGGUUCUGCUGGGCGGUGAGGCCGCGGUCCCGCCGCUGCUGUCCAUGGCUGUCCACCUUCCUUCUCAAGUCACAGGUGGGCUGCUCAGGUGAGAGCCGCCUGCAAGUGGGCCGAGCCCGCGGCGCAGGUGGGCGGCCUCGCUGACCUGGCGCCGGGGGCGUAGC